UUCCAGGCCUGCCGUACGCGCCGUUGCUAUGUCUGCUGCUGCCGUGCCCGCUGACGAUGACGCCUGCCGCCCUGCUCGAUGCCAUGCAUGCUGCCAUGCAUACUGCUGCCUCGCUUGCCCGUCUCGGAUUGGAACUGCCGCCGCAAGCUCUACCGCCUCCGCCCCCGCUGCUGAUGAUUUGGAAGUUAGACUAAACCAUUUACAACUGAUCAGUGUUGCUUAUGUUUGUGAUGAAGUGCAAGAUAGAAAAGUUAUAAAUAUGUUCUCCCUCCUCGAUUCGGGCUGCCCGAAGAGUUUUCUACGUCAAUCUGAAAGGCUCAUUAGCCCAUAAGCUCAGGCAGUGUAUGAAUAUAAUUCACCGAUUUAAAAAUAGCAUCAAUUUUCGAAAAGUUUCUGUGUCCAAUUUUGUGACCAAAGCGGUAACCAUGCCGUAAAAGGGGAGUUUAGUAGCUGUUCCCUUGCUGCAUCUGUAGGUAGCUAGAAACGGGGAAAUGGAGGUGGAGGCGCAUAAGAUAUCUUUGGAAGAUUCACCCACCAUGGUUCAAAAAACCAAAAAUUAUUUUUUCUUCAGAAUGGCCAACCAAAGAACAUCGAAGAAGCCUCUGAAGAUGAGCUUUAUAUAGGCAGAAUCGGUACAGAAGCGACUCUUCGCUCAGAUGGCACACAGCACACAAUUGGAAGACUGUUCUAACAGAAAUCGUCUUGAUGAGUCUUUUUUGAGGCCCCUUGACGAUUAAAAAACGACUAAUCUCCUGGGCGAUCAAACUGGGCGAGACUCAUAAACGACCCUCCCAUAUGCUCAAAGUAUGAUUGGUUUGAAAUGCAAAAACGAAAUGCAAAGCAAUCGCCAAAUGAGCAUGCAGGUGAUUAAAAUAUGAUCAGCUGUAAAGAGUAAGCUACGACGAA
This is a long non-coding RNA of Drosophila willistoni, 906 nucleotides long. RefSeq lists it as uncharacterized. Lineage: Eukaryota; Metazoa; Arthropoda; Insecta; Diptera; Drosophilidae. The transcript has 3 exons. The record is from RefSeq and is a predicted model, not a curated record.